Molecule: ribosomal RNA, 432 nt
Filed under: uncultured bacterium
Lineage: Bacteria
Description: bacterial SSU rRNA
Rfam family: Bacterial small subunit ribosomal RNA
Source: RNAcentral
CGCGAAGAACCUUACCUGGUCUUGACAUCCACAGAACUUUCCAGAGAUGGAUUGGUGCCUUCGGGAACUGUGAGACAGGUGCUGCAUGGCUGUCGUCAGCUCGUGUUGUGAAAUGUUGGGUUAAGUCCCGCAACGAGCGCAACCCUUAUCUUUUGUUGCCAGCGGUCCGGCCGGGAACUCAAAGGAGACUGCCAGUGAUAAACUGGAGGAAGGUGGGGAUGACGUCAAGUCAUCAUGGCCCUUACGACCAGGGCUACACACGUGCUACAAUGGCGCAUACAAAGAGAAGCGACCUCGCGAGAGCAAGCGGACCUCAUAAAGUGCGUCGUAGUCCGGAUUGGAGUCUGCAACUCGACUCCAUGAAGUCGGAAUCGCUAGUAAUCGUGGAUCAGAAUGCCACGGUGAAUACGUUCCCGGGCCUUGUACACACCG